CCCUUAGAUGUUCUGGGCUGCACGCGCGCUACACUGAUGCAUGCAACGAGUUUUCGACCUUGCCUGAAAAGGUUGGGUAAUCUGUUUAACAUGUGUCGUGAUGGGGAUAGACCAUUGCAAUUAUUGAUCUUCAACGAGGAAUUCCUAGUAAGCGCGAGUCAUCAGCUCGUGCUGAUUAUGUCCCUGCCCUUUGUACACACCGCCCGUCGCUCCCACCGAUUGAGUGAUCCGGUGAAUGAUUCGGACCAGCGUGCUGCUCAGAUCCUGCGCAGUGUGCUGGGAAGUCUAGUGAACCUUAUCACUUAGAGGAAGGAGAAGUCGUAACA
This 326-nucleotide ribosomal RNA is filed under the name uncultured eukaryote. RNAcentral's name for it is "partial 18S ribosomal RNA". It matches the Rfam family "Eukaryotic small subunit ribosomal RNA", at positions 1470 to 1796 of the family's 1831-position model. The record is from RNAcentral.